AAUUCAAGUUACUCUAAUAUUACAUUAUUGAUACAAUAAAGUAUAUUCAUAGGUUGCUAGGUAGAAAAUAGGUUACUCUCUUCUUUUUGCAGAUGGUGAAACUGAGGCUCAGGGAUUCAAGAAAAUUGUGCAAUUUGACAUCAGAAAUCAGGGUGAAGACGCCUGAGGAAGAUGAUAACACUCAGGACCAGACAUGCAGUGACUAGAGCCCAGAUCUCUAGACCUGAAACCUUCAUGAUCCAGUACAGUCUUAC
RNAcentral lists this long non-coding RNA (254 nucleotides) under Piliocolobus tephrosceles (Ugandan red Colobus). Its description in RNAcentral is "lncRNA (ENSPTEG00000010901.1)". The record is from RNAcentral. Lineage: Eukaryota; Metazoa; Chordata; Mammalia; Primates; Cercopithecidae.